GAUCAUGGCUCAGGAUGAACGCUAGCGACAGGCUUAACACAUGCAAGUCGAGGGGCGAUCAGGAAGUAGCAAUACUUUGCUGGCGACCGGCGCACGGGUGAGUAACGCGUAUGCAACCUGCCUAUCAGAGGGGAAUAACCCGGCGAAAGUCGGACUAAUACCGCAUAAAACAGGGGUCCCGCAUGGGAAUAUUUGUUAAAAGAAUUAUCGCUGAUAGAUGGGCAUGCGUUCCGAUUAGA
Molecule: ribosomal RNA, 239 nt
Filed under: uncultured bacterium
Lineage: Bacteria
Description: partial 16S ribosomal RNA
Rfam family: Bacterial small subunit ribosomal RNA
Source: RNAcentral